Molecule: ribosomal RNA, 610 nt
Filed under: uncultured bacterium
Lineage: Bacteria
Description: bacterial SSU rRNA
Rfam family: Bacterial small subunit ribosomal RNA (bases 1-540)
Source: RNAcentral
CCUACGGGAGGCAGCAGUGGGGAAUAUUGGACAAUGGGCGAAAGCCUGAUCCAGCCAUGCCGCGUGUGUGAAGAAGGUCUUCGGAUUGUAAAGCACUUUAAGUUGGGAGGAAGGGCAGUAAAUUAAUACUUUGCUGUUUUGACGUUACCGACAGAAUAAGCACCGGCUAACUCUGUGCCAGCAGCCGCGGUAAUACAGAGGGUGCAAGCGUUAAUCGGAAUUACUGGGCGUAAAGCGCGCGUAGGUGGUUCGUUAAGUUGGAUGUGAAAGCCCCGGGCUCAACCUGGGAACUGCAUUCAAAACUGACGAGCUAGAGUAUGGUAGAGGGUGGUGGAAUUUCCUGUGUAGCGGUGAAAUGCGUAGAUAUAGGAAGGAACACCAGUGGCGAAGGCGACCACCUGGACUGAUACUGACACUGAGGUGCGAAAGCGUGGGGAGCAAACAGGGAUUAGAUACCCUGGUAGUCCACGCCGUAAACGAUGUCAACUAGCCGUUGGGAGCCUUGAGCUCUUAGUGGCGCNGCACGCAUAGUUAGACGCCGCGGAGGACGGCCGCGAGUAACGUACGAAGAAGUAGAGCGUGAGAGNGCGAGCGACGACGAGGGAGGAGG